RNAcentral lists this ribosomal RNA (514 nucleotides) under Rostraria pumila. Its description in RNAcentral is "eukaryotic LSU rRNA". The stretch from base 212 to 367 matches the Rfam family "5.8S ribosomal RNA". Lineage: Eukaryota; Viridiplantae; Streptophyta; Magnoliopsida; Poales; Poaceae. The record is from RNAcentral.
ACCCUGACCAAAACAGACCGCGCACGCGUCAUCCAGCCUGCCGAGCGGUCCGCCGCUCGGCUAAGUCCUCGACAACCUCCUCUCCUCGGAUAGGGGGCUCGGGGUAAAAAGAACCCACGGCGCCGAAGGCGUCAAGGAACACUGUGCCUAGCUCGGGGAAGCGGCUGGCCUGCUGGCCGCACCUCAUGCUGCAAUGCUAUUUAAUCCACACGACUCUCGGCAACGGAUAUCUCGGCUCUCGCAUCGAUGAAGAACGUAGCGAAAUGCGAUACCUGGUGUGAAUUGCAGAAUCCCGCGAACCAUCGAGUCUUUGAACGCAAGUUGCGCCCGAGUCCUUUUGGCCGAGGGCACGCCUGCCUGGGCGUCACGCUAAACACGCUCCCACUCUCCCUCAUCUGGGAGCGGGAUGCGGCAUGUGGCCUCCCGUCUCGCAAGUGGCGGUGGGCCGAAGAUAUGGCUGCCGGCGUAUCGUGCCGGACACAGCGCUAGGUGGGCGUUCUCGCUAAAACUUAUC